RNAcentral lists this ribosomal RNA (497 nucleotides) under uncultured bacterium. RNAcentral's name for it is "partial 16S ribosomal RNA". It matches the Rfam family "Bacterial small subunit ribosomal RNA", at positions 28 to 507 of the family's 1533-position model. The record is from RNAcentral.
GAUGAACGCUGGCGGCGUGCCUAAUACAUGCAAGUCGAGCGAACGGACGAGAAGCUUGCUUCUCUGAUGUUAGCGGCGGACGGGUGAGUAACACGUGGAUAACCUCCCUAUAAGACUGGGAUAACUUCGGGAAACCGGAGCUAAUACCGGAUAAUAUUCUGCACCGCAUGGUUCAAAAGUGAAAGACGGUCUUGCUGUCACUAAUAGAUGGAUCCGCGCUGCAUUAGCUAGUUGGUAAGGUAACGGCUUACCAAGGCAACGAUGCAUAGCCGACCUGAGAGGGUGAUCGCCCACACUGGAACGGAGACACGGUCCAGACUCCUGAGGGAGGCAGCAGUAGGGAAUCUUCCGCAAUGGGGGAGAGCCUGACAGAGCAACGCGGCGUGAGUGAUGAAGGUCUUCCGAUCGUAAAGCUCUGUUAUUAGGGAAGAACAUAUGUGUAAGUAAAUGUGCAGAUCUUGACGGUACCUAAUCAGAAAGCCACGGCUAACUACGUG